Molecule: non-coding RNA, 46 nt
Organism: Rattus norvegicus (Norway rat)
Lineage: Eukaryota; Metazoa; Chordata; Mammalia; Rodentia; Muridae
Source: Rfam
ACAUUGGUUUCUCUAGAAACCAUAGAAACACUCUAGAACAUUUCGU